This 475-nucleotide ribosomal RNA is filed under the name Salmonella enterica subsp. enterica serovar Indiana. Its description in RNAcentral is "partial 23S ribosomal RNA". It matches the Rfam family "Bacterial large subunit ribosomal RNA", at positions 1 to 506 of the family's 2925-position model. The record is from RNAcentral. Lineage: Bacteria; Pseudomonadati; Pseudomonadota; Gammaproteobacteria; Enterobacterales; Enterobacteriaceae.
GGGUUGUGAGGUUAAGCGACUAAGCGUACACGGUGGAUGCCCUGGCAGUCAGAGGCGAUGAAGGACGUGCUAAUCUGCGAUAAGCGCCGGUAAGGUGAUAUGAACCGUUAUAACCGGCGAUUUCCGAAUGGGGAAACCCAGUGUGACUUGUCACACUAUCAUUAACUGAAUCCAUAGGUUAAUGAGGCGAACCGGGGGAACUGAAACAUCUAAGUACCCCGAGGAAAAGAAAUCAACCGAGAUUCCCCCAGUAGCGGCGAGCGAACGGGGAGGAGCCCAGAGCCUGAAUCAGCAUGUGUGUUAGUGGAAGCGUCUGGAAAGGCGCGCGAUACAGGGUGACAGCCCCGUACACAAAAGCGCAUGUGCUGUGAGCUCGAUGAGUAGGGCGGGACACGUGGUAUCCUGUCUGAAUAUGGGGGGACCAUCCUCCAAGGCUAAAUACUCCUGACUGACCGAUAGUGAACCAGUACCGUGA